RNAcentral lists this ribosomal RNA (650 nucleotides) under uncultured marine bacterium. RNAcentral describes it as "bacterial SSU rRNA". It matches the Rfam family "Bacterial small subunit ribosomal RNA", at positions 95 to 780 of the family's 1533-position model. The record is from RNAcentral.
GCGGCGGACGGGUUAGUAACGCGUGGGAAUAUACCCUUCUCUAUGGAAUAGUCUCGGGAAACUGGGGGUAAUACCAUAUACGCCCUUCGGGGGAAAGAUUUAUCGGAGAAGGAUUAGCCCGCGUAAGAUUAGAUAGUUGGUGGGGUAAUGGCCUACCAAGUCUACGAUCUUUAGCUGGUUUGAGAGGAUGAUCAGCAACACUGGGACUGAGACACGGCCCAGACUCCUACGGGAGGCAGCAGUGGGGAAUCUUGGACAAUGGGCGCAAGCCUGAUCUAGCCAUGCCGCGUGAGUGACGAAGGUCUUAGGAUCGUAAAGCUCUUUCGCCAGAGAUGAUAAUGACAGUAUCUGGUAAAGAAACCCCGGCUAACUCCGUGCCAGCAGCCGCGGUAAUACGGAGGGGGUUAGCGUUGUUCGGAAUUACUGGGCGUAAAGCGUACGUAGGCGGAUUAGCAAGUAGGGGGUGAAAUCCCAGGGCUCAACCCUGGAACUGCCUCCUAAACUGUUAGUCUAGAGUUCGAGAGAGGUGAGUGGAAUUCCAAGUGUAGAGGUGAAAUUCGUAGAUAUUUGGAGGAACACCAGUGGCGAAGGCGGCUCACUGGCUCGAUACUGACGCUGAGGUACGAAAGUGUGGGGAGCAAACAGGAUUA